RNAcentral lists this ribosomal RNA (634 nucleotides) under uncultured bacterium. RNAcentral's name for it is "bacterial SSU rRNA". It matches the Rfam family "Bacterial small subunit ribosomal RNA", at positions 73 to 692 of the family's 1533-position model. The record is from RNAcentral.
AAGAAGCUUGCUUCUUUCAACUUAGCGGCGGACGGGUGAGUAACACGUGGGUAACCUGCCUCUAAGACUGGGAUAACAUUCGGAAACGGAUGCUAAUACCGGAUACACGUUUUGAUCGCAUGAUCGAAAUGGGAAAGACGGAGUAAUCUGUCACUUAAAGAUGGACCUGCGGCGCAUUAGCUAGUUGGUGAGGUAAUGGCUCACCAAGGCGACGAUGCGUAGCCGACCUGAGAGGGUGAUCGGCCACACUGGGACUGAGACACGGCCCAGACUCCUACGGGAGGCAGCAGUAGGGAAUCUUCCGCAAUGGACGAAAGUCUGACGGAGCAACGCCGCGUGAGUGAUGAAGGUUUUCGGAUCGUAAAGCUCUGUUGCCAGGGAAGAACGCUAUGGAGAGUAACUGCUCCAUAGGUGACGGUACCUGAGAAGAAAGCCCCGGCUAACUACGUGCCAGCAGCCGCGGUAAUACGUAGGGGGCAAGCGUUGUCCGGAAUUAUUGGGCGUAAAGCGCGCGCAGGCGGUCGAUUAAGUUUGGUGUUUAAGGCUGAGGCUCAACCUCAGUUCGCACUGAAAACUGGUUGACUUGAGUACAGAAGAGGAAAGUGGCAUUCCACGUGUAGCGGUGAAAUGCGUA